This 720-nucleotide long non-coding RNA is filed under the name Equus asinus (donkey). RNAcentral's name for it is "lncRNA (ENSEASG00005024033.1)". Lineage: Eukaryota; Metazoa; Chordata; Mammalia; Perissodactyla; Equidae. The record is from RNAcentral.
GGUUGACCUGAGAACACACUUUGAGAUAGCCCGCUCCUAGACCUGGAAUUUCCUUUCCUUCACAUAGAGAGAAGAAGAUCACAGGGGAGAAUAGAAAAGCUAUCAAAUUGGUGGCAUUGCCAAUAAAGAUUAAGUGUUCAGAGGAGGAGUAAGUAUCUUGAAGUGGAGAUUGAAAUUGAUUCGUGGAAGAGAUGCUCUCAGCUGGAAAGAAAGGGGAUUCUCAUGGUUCAAAGUGACUACUGGAGCUUCAGCUGUUAAGUUCAUAUUCCAGCCAGUAGAAAGGAGAAGAGAAGGAGAAGGAGAAUGAUAUGCUUCCUGCCUUUAAGGAUGCUCCCUGGAAGCUGUACAAUCAACUUCUGCCUCUAACGUAUGGGCCACAGAGGUCCUUGUCUACACCAUUGGAUUUAGCUCCAAAUCCAGUCUAUCUUGCCCUGUUUACUGUGGACUCAUGCAUGCUAGUCCAACUACAUUAACCGAAAUAAAUUUAAAGUAUGUGAUAUGGGCAGCUUCAAAGGAAAAGAAGUUACCAAAAGAGAAAGAGGAAGAGACUGGAGAGAAGAUGGCGAUGGUGCAUGCUUGUGUGGCACUGUGUUUAUCUGGAGAAGCAUUAAAAAAAGAAUAUGGGAAGAAUCAGUUGAUGAGUCUGACAUGGAAAGAAGCUUCGGGAAGCAGCCAUCAACCAGAGAGGAGGGAACAAAAAUAAGGGUUUGUGGAUGAGGG